RNAcentral lists this long non-coding RNA (2677 nucleotides) under Coffea arabica (coffee). Its description in RNAcentral is "long non-coding RNA (CARA_LNC004236)". The record is from RNAcentral. Lineage: Eukaryota; Viridiplantae; Streptophyta; Magnoliopsida; Gentianales; Rubiaceae.
CACAACCCAACUUUCCCAACCCCUUAUACAACCAACAAAGAAUAUUUCUACUCAAAGAUCUCACUUGUAAGCUUGUAUAUAGUGUUGGCAAAAGGUCUCCUAUCUUCUUGUGUUUUGGGGUAUUUAUAGAAGGUGAGAAAUGGCUCCAAAAGGCUCUCCAACGGUCAAAUAUUAAAUGCUGUCGAAACUAGCCGUUGGCCUGUCGGACGUCCGACAGCUUAGUCAUCGUCCGAUCCCAUCGUCCGAAAAUCAGUCAAGUUGUUGUUCGGACGUCCGAUGGGAUUUUAUCGUCCGAGCUUCUGUGUCCGAACGUCGUCCAGAGAGUUAUCAAAUCUUCGUGAAAUUUUUAGGAUGUCCGACACGAUCGAUGUGCGUCCGAGGAGUGCGUCCGAUCCAUCCGGACGUCCGAUGCUUCCUCACGAGCGUCCGACAGAAUUUCCUUCUUGAUGUUCUUCAUCCUUUCUGACGUCCGAUAGCUUCCUUUCGGACGUCCCACAUGAGUGCCCUGUUUUUGCUUCUUCUUUUGUGCCACAAGAAUCUGUUCUAACAAAUUGCUCACAUAAAAACAUUAGCCCAAAUCUACAUUUUGGUUUGUUAAUCAUUAAAACCAAGGAUUGAUCGACCAAAGUCAACAAAUGGACACUCACGUCUCGACUUCGGGGUUUUCUCUAGUUCACCACCUACUCUUGAGACAUGCCCAAUUUACAAUUACUAGACCUUUCAACAUGCAUUCAUUAUGGAACAUAAUAUAUAGUCCCUAGUAGGAUUUCCAUCAAGAAGUUUACUAAAAUCAACAUUUAAAAGCUAUCUAACCAUCCAAGUUUCAACGUAAGAAAAGCUGGAAAGGAAUCCAACAAACAUUAGGUCCAAGUGAGGGAUUUUUCCAAACAAAUUUCAUUUAAUCCAUCCCAAAUCAACAUGUAAUCUCAUAAACAUUGAAAUGAGGACAUGAAAUUUCGAAAUCCAACAAAACUUUCCAACAAAUUUUAGUUUUAAAACAAGAAUUUCAGCUAGACAUCUAUCGGACAAGCCAACAAUUGUCUCACAGCCAUUUAGCCCUUGUAUAGCCAUUUUAGCCCCAUUAAUCUACACCGGGAAAACUAGCAUGCAACACUAGAUAAAGAUUAUACUAAGUAUAUAAGCCACAUUUCACCAAAAUACCCACUCAAAAUCAAAACAUAAACAUAAAUUCAGCAAGGUUCCUUCAAAAAUCAACACUUAUCUCACUUGGAUUCAAACAAAAAACUACAUGUAUGUCAAGAUAAAAGAGAUCAGAGAUAUGUAAAGUGCUUUUAAACAAAAUUAAUCAAAAUUCCUAAAAACAAGAACUGAAAACUGUAGUUUUUCCUCUUGAUUUGCUGUCCAGAAAUUCCAGCCUUUGAAAAUGCUUUAAAAGUCGAUCUUUUGUUACUUUUAACUUCUCAGAUAUAACAUGCAUGACUAGAUUUAGGUGUUAGAAAGUAUAUAGAGGCAAGAUGUGUCAAUUUACAAUCAAAGUUUUAGGGAUAAAACUGGAAAAAUCCCAACUCUUCCCCUUGGGUUUCAAUAGAAAAUUCCAUCAUUACCAUUCAAGUUUUUCUCUUUUAGCUUUUAGAUUUAGUACACCAAAACUUGACAUUACCUGUUAACAAGUCAUAUCACAUGAAUUUACAGUAAAAUGACAACAAAAUUUUGAAAUAAGGGCUGUAAUUUAACCAUGAUUCAGGGUUGAAAAAUUUUAUCCCAAACAGGUUACAUGCAUGUUGUUUUCAGAUUAAAAACUCAACUUCCCUUCUUGAUUUAUGCAUAAAUCGUGCAGUAUAUUAUAAGCUGACUAUAAAGCAUGAAUCUCCUAAGAAAAUCUCAACAAAAAUGGAAGCCACAAGCUGAAAAAUACAGCUCAUACCCUACGGUUCAAACUGAAAAUGUCCAGCAAGCUCUCUUCAAUUUUUCUCACCAAAACAGCACCUUUCUUACUUACUUUCAACCAUAAAUCACACAAUAACAUAUUUAUAACAUAAGGUAAGGUAUUGAUCAAGUAUUUCCUAGCAAAACUCAACAAAAGUGGCAAAUAAAGGCUGAAAAUUCACAGCUCAAGUCACUCAGCUCCCUCUUGAAAAUUUCAGUAGCCAAAAUCCUUACAUGCAUGCCAUAUUUUCACCAAGAUUCAUCUAUCAAAAGGAUUAAACAAUUCCCUAGCAAACUUACAAAAAAAAUGAACCAAAAGCUGAAAAGAAACAGCCUUCCCAAGAUCGGUUCAAGCUGAAAAAUUUCCAGCAACAAACAGAUUUCUACUAUCGGUUUCCACCUCUAUGUAUCUUCAAAUCAAGCAUGCUUCCUCAUCUCUCCAAAACAUAUGAAAAGAUUGAAGUUUCUCAGCCAUGCUACCUCAUUUUUCUGCUACAAAUCAAGUUGGAAGUUGGUUCACCUUCCUGAUUUCUCCUUGGUUCAAGCAAGCUGGAUGGACAGCUUCCUCUCUUGCCUUCACUCUCUAUUUUUCUCAGCUAAAUGGUUGGUGCAAGACACUGAUUUUUCUCUCAACUCUGUCUUGGCUAGAAAAUGGAAAGGAGGAGGAAGACUCUCAAGCUCUCUUUCUCUCGGCUGUUUAAAAGGAGAAGAAAUGAAGUCGGUUCUCUCAUUUCUCUCUCUCUCUCUCUCUCUCUCUCUCUCAUGAAUGUAAAUGGUCAAGACAAGAAAG